AUAGAGGUGUGGAUAACACAUUGUCUCAACCCUCUCCGCUCCUGUAAUCGCACCAGGCAAAAUUAAAAUGGGGGUUUAAAGGCAAAAUGCUGCUUGUUUCCAAGCUAAGGCUCAGACCGGGUUGUCAGCAAAAUGCCAAUUUGUUCUUGUCACUGCCAAAUUUGGCAGCAGGCCAGGGGCAGGAGUGUGACUGGGGGUGGGAGAAGUCCAGGGUUGGAAGCUGUCCACCAGGCCACCCAAGAUGGCAGACCAUGGAUCUGAUCUCCAAAGGGAUGGUGAUCGACUGAUCUAGUAGAGAAAGCACGGAGCAUGACUUGGUGCUGCUAUAAAAUGCACCCUAGAGCUCUACCAGAAUCUUCUUGAGUUUUGACCACUCCUGAACAUUAGUAGUGGCUGAUACUUCAUCUGCAGGCAGCAUGCCAGUUAUUCCAACUGUAGUCACUUCACUGUCAAGAAAACUGAGGAUCACCAAGAACCUGAAAAAUCACCAUCAGCUUUUUUGUCACUUUCUAAUAUUCAAUCAAUAGUAAUUCCUGACUGCAUCUUUUCAUAACCUGCACAUUAAACUGGAAACCAGACUUGGGUCACCACCUUGCACUGUAGAGGAAGACUCGUGGUAAUCGUGGUAAUACUAAUAAUACUAAUACGAAUACUAGGCCUUCUUCCCAGGUUGCCUUUGACUUGUGGGAUUUGCAGCUUGCUGACCUCAUGGUUUCUGCCGUACGCAGGGAGCAGAGAGGGGAAGGCAUGGCGGUGUCAGGAUCAAAGGCCUAAUUGUCUGUUUCCUCGAAGUCUGAGUUAUUGGCAGCUGCCAUUACAGCAUCCCGCAUGCUGUCACACGGCACAACCAACCAGCACCCACUAAUUGCAGUGGCCUUUUCAUCAAGUAAGAUCAUCCGGCUAACCUCCGAGAGCUGUCUCUCCAUUAGCACCGCCGGCAAGCUAGCCAGAUCAGCCAGGCUACUUGGGCAUGAUUGGACUGUCAUAUUGUUAUGAUUUGUUCAAGUUUAGAGCAUUUAGCAGAUACCCUUUGCACCUCUCUUUGUACCUGAAUCCUAUAACCUGCCUGCCCCUAUCAUUUAAGAGGCUACUGUAGCUUUUCAAAGUUCAGCAAUGCACAAUUGCAGGCAGGCAACUGGUCUCUGACAAGAGAUCAAUACUGUCCUUCCGAAUGCUGGAGUCAAGCUGCUGGGUCUGUCAGAGGGACGUGCGCUGUAAUUGGAUCAUAGAUGCAGCGAGUCAUCUGAGCCUCCCUUCAGCACUGUCACAGCUGUCAGAUGUCAUCCCUUUGUACAGCUGUCACUGCGGGAGGGUUGUGGCUCUUUUUUUCCUGUUCUAACCCAAUGCAAAUGUCCACUUAGCAGAUGAAUAUUGAAGAUAUUAGACACUUCUUUAUGCCUUUAUGCAAAAUAAAGAUCUGUGUCAUCUGUGAAUUUCAUGGAAAUAAGUUGCAAUUUAUUCACUGUGAGAAAAGGGAAGUGAAGCCUGUAAAAAUGAGAAAUUAUUUGGUUCAGGCUAUUAAAAAAAGAGAGACAGAAUAUUUUACAGAAUAAACAAAAUAUGGAG
Long non-coding RNA from Varanus komodoensis (Komodo dragon), 1566 nucleotides. RefSeq lists it as uncharacterized. The record is from RefSeq and is a predicted model, not a curated record. Lineage: Eukaryota; Metazoa; Chordata; Lepidosauria; Squamata; Varanidae. The transcript has 3 exons.